This 338-nucleotide long non-coding RNA is filed under the name Mytilus galloprovincialis (Mediterranean mussel). The record is from RNAcentral. Lineage: Eukaryota; Metazoa; Mollusca; Bivalvia; Mytilida; Mytilidae.
UAACCCAGCAGGCACUCAACGUUGAUUCAACGUUGAAACAAGGUUGUUUCUCAACGUUGAAACAAUGUCAAAUUUAUGUUUGAUUUUGAAAAUUUGAAUUAACGUUGUCAUUUCAACGUUGAAGUUUCAACAUCCAUUCAACGUUGAUUCAAGGUUGAAUAGUAGUUGAAAGUAUAAUAAUGAAAUUUAUUAUAAAGCUACAACACCACAUUUUUUACCUGCUUUCCAAAUGUUUGCUGUUGUUAGAUGGUAAACAGGGAGUGUGGGUGUACAUGUUUUUUUAUGUUUUUCCCUCUCGCCAAUACACAUAUUUACAAAAUAGAUAAGUUAAAUGGAAG